GGUGACUCAAUGGUAGAGUGCUUGCCUCGCAUGCAUGAGGCCCUGAGUUGUAUUCCUCAGCACCA
RNAcentral lists this transfer RNA (65 nucleotides) under Dipodomys ordii (Ord's kangaroo rat). It matches the Rfam family "tRNA". Rfam says of the family: Transfer RNA (tRNA) molecules are approximately 80 nucleotides in length. Their secondary structure includes four short double-helical elements and three loops (D, anti-codon, and T loops). Further hydrogen bonds mediate the characteristic L-shaped molecular structure. tRNAs have two regions of fundamental functional importance: the anti-codon, which is responsible for specific mRNA codon recognition, and the 3' end, to which the tRNAs corresponding amino acid is attached (by aminoacyl-tRNA synthetases). tRNAs cope with the degeneracy of the genetic code in two manners: having more than one tRNA (with a specific anti-codon) for a particular amino acid; and 'wobble' base-pairing, i.e. permitting non-standard base-pairing at the 3rd anti-codon position. Lineage: Eukaryota; Metazoa; Chordata; Mammalia; Rodentia; Heteromyidae. The record is from Rfam by way of RNAcentral.